AUUGAACGCUGGCGGCAGGCCUAACACAUGCAAGUCGAGCGGAUGAAGGGAGCUUGCUCCUGGAUUCAGCGGCGGACGGGGGAGUAAUGCCUAGGAAUCUGCCUGGUAGGGGGGGAUAACGUCCGGAAACGGGCGCUAAUACCGCAUACGUCCUGAGGGAGAAAGUGGGGGAUCUUCGGACCUCACGCUAUCAGAUGAGCCUAGGUCGGAUUAGCUAGUUGGUGGGGUAAAGGCCUACCAAGGCGACGAUCCGUAACUGGUCUGAGAGGAUGAUCAGUCACCCUGGAACUGAGACACGGUCCAUACUCCUACGGGACGCAGCAGUGGGGAAUAUUGGACAGUGGUCGAAAGCCUGAUCCAGCCAUGCCGCGUGUGUUAAGUAGGUCUUCGGAUUGUAAAGCACUUUAAGUUGUGAGGAAGGGCAGUAAGUUAAUACCUUGCUGUUUUGACGUUACCAACAGAAUAAGCACCGGCUAACUUCGUG
Molecule: ribosomal RNA, 484 nt
Filed under: uncultured bacterium
Lineage: Bacteria
Description: partial 16S ribosomal RNA
Rfam family: Bacterial small subunit ribosomal RNA
Source: RNAcentral